CCUACGGGAGGCAGCAGUGGGGAAUAUUGCGCAAUGGGCGAAAGCCUGACGCAGCGACGCCGCGUGAGGGAUGAAGGUCUUCGGAUCGUAAACCUCUGUCAGCAGGGAAGAAAGGUCACUGUGCUAAUCAGCAGUGAAUUGACGGUACCUGCAAAGGAAGCACCGGCUAACUCCGUGCCAGCAGCCGCGGUAAUACGGAGGGUGCGAGCGUUAAUCGGAAUUACUGGGCGUAAAGCGCUCGUAGGCGGUAUGUCAAGUCAAGGGUGAAAUCCCCGCGCUCAACGUGGGAACUGCCUUUGAAACUGGCAAACUGGAGUGUGUGAGAGGAUAGUGGAAUUCCAGGUGUAGGAGUGAAAUGCGUAGAUAUCAGGAGGAACAGCGGUGGCGAAGGCGACUAUCUGGCACAUAACUGACGCUGAGGAGCGAAAGCGUGGGUAGCAAACAGGAUUAGAUACCCUGGUAGUC
Molecule: ribosomal RNA, 465 nt
Filed under: uncultured bacterium
Lineage: Bacteria
Description: partial 16S ribosomal RNA
Rfam family: Bacterial small subunit ribosomal RNA
Source: RNAcentral